GAAAUGCGAUAAGUAAUGUGAAUUGCGGAAUUCAGUGAAUCAUCGAAUCUUUGAACGCACCUUGCGCUCCUUGGUAUUCCUUGGAGCAUGCCUGUUUGAGUAUCAUGAAAUCUUCAAAGUAAAUCUUUUGUUAACUCAAUUGGUUUCUACUUUGGUAUUGGAGGUCUUUGCAGCUUCACACCUGCUCCUCUUUGUUCAUUAGCUGGAUCUCAGUGUUAUGCUUGGUUCCACUCGGCGUGAUAAGUUAUCUAUCGCUGAGGACACUGUAAAAGGUGGCCAAGGUAAAUUCAGAUGAACCGCUUCUAAUAGUCCAUUGACUUGGACAAUACUUUUAUGAUCUGAUCUCAAAUCAGGUAGGACUACCCGCUGAACUUAAGC
This 378-nucleotide unclassified non-coding RNA is filed under the name plant metagenome. Its description in RNAcentral is "partial contains 5.8S ribosomal RNA, internal transcribed spacer 2, and large subunit ribosomal RNA". The stretch from base 1 to 105 matches the Rfam family "5.8S ribosomal RNA", at positions 50 to 154 of the family's 154-position model. The record is from RNAcentral.